Molecule: ribosomal RNA, 787 nt
Filed under: uncultured Sulfitobacter sp.
Lineage: Bacteria; Pseudomonadati; Pseudomonadota; Alphaproteobacteria; Rhodobacterales; Roseobacteraceae
Description: bacterial SSU rRNA
Rfam family: Bacterial small subunit ribosomal RNA
Source: RNAcentral
GCUGGCGGCAGGCCUAACACAUGCAAGUCGAGCGCACCCUUCGGGGCGAGCGGCGGACGGGUUAGUAACGCGUGGGAACAUACCCUUCACUAUGGAAUAGCCUCGGGAAACUGAGAGUAAUACCAUAUACGCCCUUCGGGGGAAAGAUUUAUCGGUGAAGGAUUGGCCCGCGUAAGAUUAGAUAGUUGGUGGGGUAAUGGCCUACCAAGUCUACGAUCUUUAGCUGGUUUUAGAGGAUGAUCAGCAACACUGGGACUGAGACACGGCCCAGACUCCUACGGGAGGCAGCAGUGGGGAAUCUUAGACAAUGGGCGCAAGCCUGAUCUAGCCAUGCCGCGUGUGUGAUGAAGGCCUUAGGGUCGUAAAGCACUUUCGCUAGGGAUGAUAAUGACAGUACCUAGUAAAGAAACCCCGGCUAACUCCGUGCCAGCAGCCGCGGUAAUACGGAGGGGGUUAGCGUUGUUCGGAAUUACUGGGCGUAAAGCGUACGUAGGCGGAUCAGAAAGUAUAGGGUGAAAUCCCGAGGCUCAACCUCGGAACUGCCUUGUAAACUCCUGGUCUUGAGUUCGAGAGAGGUGAGUGGAAUUCCAAGUGUAGAGGUGAAAUUCGUAGAUAUUUGGAGGAACACCAGUGGCGAAGGCGGCUCACUGGCUCGAUACUGACGCUGAGGUACGAAAGUGUGGGGAGCAAACAGGAUUAGAUACCCUGGUAGUCCACACCGUAAACGAUGAAUGCCAGUCGUCGGGCAGUAUACUGUUCGGUGACACACCUAACGGAUUAAGCAUCC